Eptesicus fuscus (big brown bat) is the source of this 570-nucleotide long non-coding RNA. RefSeq lists it as uncharacterized. The record is from RefSeq and is a predicted model, not a curated record. The transcript is spliced from 3 exons. NCBI's taxonomy places the organism in Eukaryota, Metazoa, Chordata, Mammalia, Chiroptera, Vespertilionidae.
CUCAGACACUGACCACCGCUGACCAGCAGGGCAGGGAUUAGGGGGUGACAGGAAGUGUGCCCUGCCCUCCUGUGCUUUACAGAUUGGAGCGCCUCUUGCUUUGGCUGGAUGCUGAUGGAGUUGUCCCAAUUUUUUAUUGCUACCGCUGGUUGGAGUGAAGAUGGGCUCUAAUUCUCCAAAUAUGGGUGGAAGUGUGUGCUCAAGUUUCAGUGUGAUCUCCCCACCAGUUUAAACUAAAACCAAGCUCACCUUGCCAAGAUCUGCUGGAAACCCUGCACGUAUGGCGUGUCUUCAGUCAGAGCGACCACUGCCUGGAACACUGCUGCUGACUACGGGUGGGAAGAGUUCUCCAAGUGGCCACACUAGAGAUUGAAGGCUCAGACAGGAAAUAACACAUGCCAUUGCUUCUUCUCACAAAUCAAUGGCAGUAACCGACCACAUGGCCUUACCAACCACAGAGCACCGUCACAUCAUGUAGGUUUUAAUAUAAUACAUUUAUUACUAAAUGUUACUUCUAAAGCCUAGUUCCAGUUGUAUGAAACUCAUAAAAUGACACUGCUUUUUGAAUUA